AUACGUAGGGAGCGAGCGUUGUCCGGAAUUACUGGGUGUAAAGGGAGCGUAGGCGGGAGUGCAAGUCAGAUGUGAAAUACAUGGGCUCAACCCAUGGGCUGCAUUUGAAACUGCAUUUCUUGAGUGAAGUAGAGGUAAGCGGAAUUCCUGGUGUAGCGGUGAAAUGCGUAGAUAUCAGGAGGAACACCGGUGGCGAAGGCGGCUUACUGGGCUUUUACUGACGCUGAGGCUCGAAAGCGUGGGGAGCAAACAGGAUCAGAUACCCUGGUAGUCCACGCUGUAAACGAUGAUUACUAGGUGUGGGGGGACUGACCCCUUCCGUGCCGCAGUUAACACAAUAAGUAAUCCACCUGGGGAGUACGGCCGCAAGGUUGAAACUCAAAUGAAUUGACGGGG
Molecule: ribosomal RNA, 396 nt
Filed under: uncultured bacterium
Lineage: Bacteria
Description: partial 16S ribosomal RNA
Rfam family: Bacterial small subunit ribosomal RNA
Source: RNAcentral